Microcebus murinus (gray mouse lemur) is the source of this 2017-nucleotide long non-coding RNA. RefSeq lists it as uncharacterized. NCBI's taxonomy places the organism in Eukaryota, Metazoa, Chordata, Mammalia, Primates, Cheirogaleidae. The record is from RefSeq and is a predicted model, not a curated record.
UCGCGCGCCGAGGAGCGGCCGCGGAAAUGGGCGGGCGAUUCGUCAGGUCUAUGAAAGGGGCCACCGCCCUUGGAGCGGGGGAGAGGGGCGUCGGGAGGCUUACCUGGAAGAGUCCGGAGUGGAAGGAGGACAACUCCGCACACAGAUAUAUCAGCUUUAUCAGGAUGGAGACUCUAGGUUGCAGACACCACUACCUGGGAUCACUGCUAGCCUCCAUUGGCUCUACUAAAAAGAAAAAGAAAAAAAGAAUACAUUAAAAAAAAAAAAAGCAGCGUGGAAGAGUCUGGAAAUGCAGAGUCCAGAGGACUGGGCUGAGGAGAAGAACUAAGUAAAAAGGAGAGUGAAGAAGAAUGCAGCAGCAGCAGUGAUAUUCCGGGACUUCUGAGUCCAGGCCUUAAGAAAACUGAAGCUUCACUUCCUGCCCUUGGAACCAGCAGCUCAGGCCACAAGGAGAAGCCACAGAGAAGAGAACUGAGGAGCUCCUGGCGAAAGCCCCCAUGAACCUCCCAGCCAACAGUCAACGCCAACUGCCAUCGCUGCGCAUGAGCCACCUUGGAGGUUCCAGCUGAUUUGCGCCCUAGACCACUGCGGCCUUAGCUGUCACCACAGCGAGCAGAACACAGGCUGAGCUCAGUCAACCACAGAAAUGUGAAAGGUAAUAAAAUGGCUGUUGUUUGCAGCCCCUGGGUUUCGGGAUGAUGUGUCUGCAACUCCUGGCACCUAACUGGCUCUUGAGAAAUAUCUGGAGAAUACAUGGAUGACUUUUGUUGGGUCUCAGCUUCCUGUUUGAGAAAAUGGCAGGGGUUGUUAGACCACCCAUGCUUUACAUCCUCCGAGUCCCCAUCUGUCCGCCAUGUCAGCUGCUUACCCGGCCGCCUGCCACAGGGUCACGCUUUAUUCUUGCAGGAAGAUUCUGCUGUCUGUGGCGUCUCUGCUCCCACCCUGUGCCAGUUCCCCCUCCUUGCUGUCUGAGGCAUGCACACACUCGGGCACCUGCUUCCUCGCAAAGCUCUCCUGGGGUUUCCAUCACGGGGCCGUGUCACUGGGCAGGGGGACAGUGGCACGGGCCCUCCGCCUUACGGGCCGCACCUGCUCGCUUCAGCCAGAGGAGACUGGAAACGUUCCCAACGCGUCCCUGGGUCACACAGGCAAAGAGUAGGACAGAUGCAGACCGUGUUUGCCACCUACCCUUCCUCAAGGCCAAGUCCUGUGAUCAUCUUUUGGUUAGAAAAUGGCCUCUGGCUCUGUAUCCAGGGCCAGGGAGAAGUGUCCCGAAGUGGAGACGAAGUCUCUGCUUCUGAGAAUGGUUGCUCGGCCUCUGGCUUAUUAGGGUUUCCUUGCUUGCCACAGAGGUGCCACGAUGACUUUUAUUGGCAGUGCCUGCAGGCACUUGGGGGGAGGGGGUAGAUCUCUGAUUCCCAUCGAAAAAAUAAUGAAAAGGCAACUGAGGGCUGGAGAAGUCAAGUAGCUAGCCCAAGGCCACAGAGCAAACCCAGCUCACUGGUGGAUUCAGACUCACCUCCCUUCUAUUUCUAGUCACCCACCUGACGCUCCUACACCCACCUGGCCUCUGAGCAGUCAUGGUGUGACCCACUUAACUCAUUAUUCACAAGCGCAGGUGGCCCUUCCUGACUAUAAGUCAUCCACAAAUCACCAUCAUCACCAUUUUAACUAGUAAGGCCUCUCUCAUUAAGCUGUAAAGUUACCCGUCCCAGACUCUAGAAAGCCACUCAGUUUCUGGAAGCUGGGAGGAACGAUGACAUUAUUCAUCUAUCCAGCCAGGAAGCACGGAUUGCACACCCAGUGGGUUCUGGGUGCUCUGUAAGGUGCUAGAGACACAGCAGUGCACAAAACCCAGGCCCUGCCCACAAGGAGCUUGCAGCAUUGUAGGAAAUGCCACAGCCCUCUCCUUUCAUACAAAUUAUGAUGGUACAUGAAUGUCACAGCUCACGGCAUAGUUUUCAUACAACACAGAGCAGAGGGGAAAACAGCGGCCCCCUCCUUACGCUCCAGACUU